CCCUUAGAUGUUCUGGGCCGCACGCGUGCUACACUGAGUGGAUCAGCGGGUCAGGUUGCGCGAAAGCGUUUCCUAAUCUUUAAAUCCGCUCGUGAUGGGGAUUGACGGUUGCAAUUUUCUGUCAUGAACGAGGAAUACCUUGUAAGCGCGGGUCAUCAUCCCGCGCUGAAUACGUCCCUGCCCUUUGUACACACCGCCCGUCGCUACUACCGAUUGAACGGUUUAGUGAGGGCCUCGGAUUGGUCUCGGCCCGCUCUUUACCGGGCGGCGCCGUUGGUCGAGAAGACGCUCGAACCUGAUCGUUUAGAGGAAGUAAAAGUCGUAACA
RNAcentral lists this ribosomal RNA (327 nucleotides) under uncultured eukaryote. RNAcentral describes it as "partial 18S ribosomal RNA". It matches the Rfam family "Eukaryotic small subunit ribosomal RNA", at positions 1470 to 1796 of the family's 1831-position model. The record is from RNAcentral.